UAAAAUACUCCUUGGGAUAUAAACUCUUAUGCCAAAUUGCAGAGAAAAUGCAAAAUUGUGUAAGUGCAUUUUAAUACUGAUGGUUGAAUACAACAUGACUACACAUCCUUAACAAAGCAGAAAUGCAAUCUAUUUAUAGAUCAGAGACAUUUGUCCAAGCUGCUGACCAACUAAUUUUAAAUUUAAUUUUAAAUUUAAUUUUAAAUUUAGUAUUUUCAGGAAUGUUAUGAUGAUGCAUUCCUCUUUUAGAGACUGAAAAUGUGGGGGUGGCUAAAGAAAGAGUUAAUGCCCAUGAUUUUGCCAGGAAUCAAGUUAAUGAAGAAAUGCAUUUGAGAGGAUUAACAUUGUUGUAGAAAUCAGUGUGUGAAGAGAUUGACUGGGAGGGUGUUGGGCUGAAGAAUGUGAAAGGGCAAUUUGGUCUUUUUGGCAGACUUGUCAAGGAUAGUUUGCUUCUCGGCCAUGGCUCCAUGAAGUGGAAAACACUGAGAAGAGUAAGUGCCACAAGAUGGCACUUUGAAAAGAGUGAUGAAAGGGGGAAAUGUACCUCUAUCCAUCCUGGCUGUAAGGGAUCAUUAAACAGAUUCAGAUAUUGGGAUCAAUUCAACAAGCCAACAUGAGAGAAGAUGAGAAACCACGUGCAGAGGACAAAUUCUGCGGUAUUUCCAGGCUUAAGGUACAGAAAUAUUUUAGCAAUUUUUUAUGAAUGCAAUUGCAAUUGUUUGCACUUACAGCCAUUCAGCAGGAAUUAAAAUAUAGACUAAAAGAAUGAACAGUCUGGUUCUUUCUUUAUCCGUAAUGAUUUAACAAUUGAGGUCAAGAAAAUUUGUAACCAAACAAAUAUUGCUUUUUAUGUCCCUGACCUUUAUGUUGUCUGACGUGUUGGAGGUAUGCUUGACUGCUGCUUUGAAUCUCCACCUCUGAACUUCUGUAAUGACUCUAGGCUUUACUUUCUGUAAUCUCCCUAUUCCUUUAUAGACCUAUGAAAUGAGCCAGUUGUGACAUGGAAGUAAAAAAUGGCUGUUAAUAUAUCCCACACUAUUUUAGUAGUCAAGAAGCUCUAUAAAAAGCUAUAAAAAAGUUUGUUUUAAUAGGAGACAAAGCUCAAAUACAUUACUGAUGCUUUUUAGCAUUUGCAGUAGAUGCAUUUAAAAUACUAUUGAAUUUAUUUCAUAAAUAAUGCUUAUGAAUAACCCUUAAGUUAAAAUGACUUGAAUACUACUACGGAUACUCUUUCUUUCCCCACUGUCAA
Molecule: long non-coding RNA, 1249 nt
Filed under: Cairina moschata (Muscovy duck)
Lineage: Eukaryota; Metazoa; Chordata; Aves; Anseriformes; Anatidae
Description: domestica (muscovy Duck (domestic type)) lncRNA (ENSCMMG00000000168.1)
Source: RNAcentral